Molecule: non-coding RNA, 46 nt
Filed under: Trichobilharzia regenti
Lineage: Eukaryota; Metazoa; Platyhelminthes; Trematoda; Strigeidida; Schistosomatidae
Source: RNAcentral
UUGCUGAUGAAGAGUCCCAAACUAGGACGAAACAGCUGUCCAGCAC